CAGAGUUCAGCCGUAGGCUAUCGCCGAGAGAGUGAUGGCGAUGAGUAGUUGCUGGUUGGUGAUGGCGGCCUGUCUCCUCAGCUCACAUAUAUAUUUCAGCAAAAAACAUACAACUUUGGGAGACUUGAUACUACACACAGACAAUUGGACAAAAGAUUCUUUGCCAUCACAUAGUGGAUACAGUUCCAGUAAGUUCUCAAAGGGCAGGAAAUAAGGACUGUUAAAUGAAUGAAGAACAAGAAGCAGAGAAAAGUUUUAAAGGAAUACAAAAAGAAAUAAGAGUCACAGGCAAGUGUAUCUUCCAAAGCUGUAAAUAUGUAACUCAAGCAAAGGAAUGAUCAAUGUCUUAAAACUGUGAAGAAAAUGUUCUACAGUUAGUUAUUUUUAUCCUGUUGGUGUGGAAAAUUCCUUAGGAGAAAAUGAUUACAGAAAGAGAUGCUGUGUGGCCUAAACUGUGCAUGUCCCCUACUUACACUCGUAAAUCAUCGUUGGUAAGAGAUACGAAUAUCAAAACAUCUCACAGCAUUCCAUAUUCUUCUUUGAGGACACCUCAGGAAUAUUACGAAUUCUGCACAAAAUGAAUCCACAAUGAAAGACUUAACACUUUCCUGUUCACAC
Long non-coding RNA from Cryptotermes secundus, 618 nucleotides. RefSeq lists it as uncharacterized. The transcript is spliced from 3 exons. The record is from RefSeq and is a predicted model, not a curated record. NCBI's taxonomy places the organism in Eukaryota, Metazoa, Arthropoda, Insecta, Blattodea, Kalotermitidae.